CGACUUCUCUCAGGCUGCCGUUUUGACUGUUUUCAGGAGUGAGAGAAUAACCUCCUGCUACAGAAAAUAUAACUCAAGAUUCCUAAAUUUCUGAAGGGAGCUGAUCACAGAGAUACAGGAAAGACAGGAGGUCUAAGUUUAACCUAAGUGCCGUGUUGCUGAUGAACAUCUUUAUAUGCAAAACCGGAGCACCCAGAGAAAACCCACCAAACGCAGAGAGAAUUUGCAAACUACACACAGAAAUGCCUGCUGAUCCAGCUGCGGCUCGAGUCAGCAUCCUUGCUGUAAGGCAACAGCACUACCUAUUGUUCCACCACGUCACGCUCUUAUUAAAUUAUAUUUAUAUAAUUUUGUGUUUCAGUACAUGCUAUUUUGGGAAGACAAAAUAUAUUCAUAAGCUCUCAGAAAAUUCAAUAAGAGAAUUCAUUCAUUCAUUUUAAGAGAAUUAACUGCACAAUUACUUGAAAUGCGUGGAUGGGAUUACAUUAUUUGUUAACCCAAAGUGAGUUUCUCUUUCUUUGCAGUAUUGGAUGCCUGAUUGCAGUUCAACUCCAAACUCAGUUGGACCAGCUGAUCAGUGUCUUCAGUAUUACCACAAGCUACUGGGCAGAUGUGUGGACAGCUAUGAGCCAAACUUGGGACGUUUGGUUUUUAGCAGGUGUAGAGACCGUCUGGGCAGCAGAAACAAGACAACUAAUCAUAUUUAGAUACAAUCAAAUGUCCAAACCAUCUCUGAGUGAAUGACAUCAAGGAAACAGGAUCAAAAAGAUCAUUCAAUAUAGAAUGUUUCAUAGUUGGUUAUAUUUUUCAGGUCCUCCUGAUCAUUCUGUUCUCCUGGUUGUGAGGAUGUGCAGAGGCUGUAUUUGUCAGUGUUAAAAGACUUGUGCAGCUGUAUGCAGACAUACAAGCAGCCGACAAAGAGUUCUGGAGCAGGACAGACAGGGCAGCACGGUGGCGCAGAGGGUAGCACGUUUGCCUCACAGCAAGAAGGUUGCUGCUUCAAGCUUCGGCUGGAUUGGUGUACGCUGAUGGUCUGCUGAGAAUUCUGCUGAGUUGAAGGGAUCCUCCUGUCAGACAACCUCUCCAAAGUACAAUAGGACUAGGUUCCCACUACAAGGAUUAGAUAUGGCUACUGCAGUCCCGGUUUGGGCCAGCCUCACUUGUGAAGACUAAAGAUGAAGACAACAUACAAGAACAAUUUCGAGGAUGGCGACAUACUUUUUAUUCCACCUAUAUAUCCCCUUUUAAGUGUAAGCAACAUUCCACAAGAUAAAACAAAAGUAAAUGACAGGUUAUUUCUUUUCAUUUUGUCUGUUUUCUUGGAACAUUGUACACAAUUUACAACCAGUUUUAUUUAUAUAAAUAUAGGUCAGAGCAAGAAAAUGUUAUGUUUUCUUCUGGAGAAAGUCUUAUUUCUUUUAUUUCGGCUAGAAUAAAAACAGUUUUGAAUUUUUUAAAAAACAUUUUAAGGUCAAUAUUAUUAGCCCCUUUAAGCAAUUUUUUUCGACUGUCUACAGAACAAACCAUCGAUAUACAAUAACUUGCCUAAUUACCCUAACCUGUCUAGUUAAGCUAAUUAACCUAAUUAAGCCUUUAAAUGUCACUUUAAGCUGUAUAGAAGUGUCUUGAAAAUAUCUAGUCAAAUAUUAUUUACUCGGUUAUUAGAAAUGAGUUAUUAAAACUAUUGUGAUUAGAAAUGUGUUAAAAAAUAUUUCCGUUAAACAGAAAUUAAGGGAUUAUAUAUAUAUAUUUAUAUAUAUAUAUAUAUAUAUAUAUAUAUAUAUAUAUAUAUAUAUAUAUAUAUAUAUAUAUAUAUAUAUAUAUAUAUAUAUAUAUAGAAUGACAAAAUCUGUUUUGUGUCGUGCAUUAGAGUUUGCCUAAAAAAAACUGGUUAUCUCUGAGAAGUAAUGUUAUUUUAUAUUAUUGAUGUGUUAUUAGUUCAGAGGAGAUUGCAAAUUGUUGAAUGCCAUUUAUAAAAAAAAAUGUAAAAAAAAAUUGACUACAGACUUUAAUAAAAUUUUAUCAGACAAUUAUUUUAAUUUGUAUGAUUUUAUUUACUACUGUAAAUAUUGUUUGCUUGGUAUUUAUUUUGUGUUUGUGUACUCUUGUUUUAUUGUAACUCCCUGAAGAAAGUCUUUUGGAUACUGAACACAUGACUGGUAUUAUCUUGUAUUUUAAAAUUAUAGUCUUGGAAACAUGCAUUUUCUUUAACACUAUUUAAGAAAUUAUAAGCAUUAUAACAUGUGCUUACACAAGUGAUUUGUGUUUUUACUAUAGUAAACUAUAGUCACCCUUAGUGUACAUGUUUUGAAGUACUUGUAAAUAUUCCUAUGGUCUUAAUGUAAAUGCUGCACUUUGUAUUUAAAAUCUUUAUUGCACAGUAUUUCAGCCAUGGUUAUAGUACAACUUGUUGGUUUUGUUUUAAACGUAGUAAAACAUGGUUAUGUGUGAUAAAAGUAUGUUAAUCUAUUUGUAUGUUUGUGAAAAAUAUUAAUAAAUCUUCAACUGUUA
Molecule: long non-coding RNA, 2511 nt
Filed under: Danio rerio (zebrafish)
Lineage: Eukaryota; Metazoa; Chordata; Actinopteri; Cypriniformes; Danionidae
Description: long non-coding RNA NONDRET014714
Source: RNAcentral